Heterocephalus glaber (naked mole-rat) is the source of this 1720-nucleotide RNA transcript. It is a transcript of the gene named SIR2 antiphage like 1, with no coding region annotated. Lineage: Eukaryota; Metazoa; Chordata; Mammalia; Rodentia; Bathyergidae. The record is from RefSeq and is a predicted model, not a curated record.
CAGGCGGGCUGGCCUGGUGUGUCACGUGGGCGGUGCGUGCUCAGUGCGGCUGCGCUGACCGGUAGCUGCAGCUGGAGCGGUGGCGUUUGGAGGAGACGCGAAACUGGAUGGCUUCUACAGGGAGCCAGGCCUCUGAUAUAGACAAGAUUUUUGGAUUCUUCAGUGAUGGCGCACCCCCCACCAAAAAGCCCAGGAAGCUGCUUCCAAGCUUAAAAACAAAGAAGCCUCGGGAACUUGUGCUGGUCAUUGGAACAGGCAUCAGUGCUGCAGUGGCACCUCAGGUUCCAGCCCUAAAAUCCUGGAAGGGGUUAAUUCAGGCCCUACUGGAUGCUGCAAUUGACUUUGAUCUUCUAGAAGAGGAGGAAAGCAAAAAGUUUCAGAAAUGUCUCCAUGAAGACAAGAACCUUGUCCAUGUUGCUCAUGACCUUAUUCAGAAACUCUCUCCUAGAACCAGUAAUGUUCGAUCCACAUUUUUCAAAGACUGUUUAUAUGAAGUAUUUGAUGACCUGGAGUCAAAGAUGGAAGAUUCUGGAAAACAGCUUCUGCAGUCAGUUCUUCAUCUGAUGGAAAAUGGAGCCCUAGUAUUAACUACAAAUUUUGACAAUCUCCUGGAACUGUAUGCAGCAGACCAGGGAAAACAGCUUGAAUCCCUUGACCUUACUGAUGAGAAAAAGGUACUCACCCUGCUAGCCUGGUCGAGCUGUGUGUGUGUCAUGCAGGUCCUGGAGUGGGCUCAGGAGAAGCGGAACCUGAGCGUGUUACAUAUCCAUGGGGUCUACACCAACCCUAGUGGCAUUGUCCUUCAUCCAGCUGGAUAUCAGAACGUCCUCAGGAACACUGAAGUUAUGAGAGAGAUUCAGAAACUCUAUGAAAACAAGUCAUUUCUUUUCCUGGGUUGUGGCUGGACUGUGGACGACACCACUUUCCAGGCCCUCUUCCUGGAGGCUGUCAAGCAUAAGUCUGACUUAGAACAUUUCAUGCUGGUUCGAAGAGGAGAUGUAGAUGAGUUCAAAAAGCUUCGAGAAAACAUGCUGGACAAGGGGAUUAAGGUUAUCUCCUAUGGAAAUGACUAUGCUGAUCUUCCAGAGUAUUUCAAGAGACUGACCUGUGAGAUCUCCACAAGGGGUAAAUUAGUUUGUAUUUAGCAGGGAUGGUGAGAGAAGGCCAGCUAAAUGGCUCAUCUGCAGUGCAUGAUGAAAUACGAGGCUAUAGUACAUGAACGAGCUAGAGAAAUGGCCACCAUUAGACCAAGCUGUAAGGCCCUACCAUGGAGUGUUUAACAGGCAAACCUGAAAGAACCCAACACAGCUCCAGGAAGUGGCACUGUCCAGAGGCUGAAGAUUGGGGGUAGACUAGGGAGAAAGUGUUCCAGCUUUUUCUUCAUGCCAGCUGGUUCUUGCUCCUCUGCCUCCUGAAAAGCUGAAGAAUACCUAAGUGACAGUGGAACCAGACUGCAGCACCCCCAUCCCCAGGCUGAUGUGCUUGUGUCCACACAGCAGACUGUGUGACCUCCACUGAUGGUGACUGUAGCUCUGCAUGAAGGACUUGGAGAGCUGUCAUGAGUCAGUGGGGCUCUUGUUGCAGUUUUGUACUCAACACUUGGUUUUUCAAUUAAGCUUAAUCACUUUUUAAAAACAUGACUUGAAGCUCUAGUUUUCUAGCUCUUUUACAUUGUACAGUAUUUUACCUGAGUUGUAUUAAAGGCUUGUUCAUUUACUCA